AAUCUGUGUGUAGGCAUGGAAGCAAACAUCCUCUCUUGGCUUCUGCAGCAAAUUCCAAGUGGCAAUGGAACUUUACCUUCGCUGACUCUUUUGUUUCUUUUUUCCCGUGGAUUCUGUGCUUUUGUUUUUGUUUCUGGUUUUGGUUUUUAUAUAACUCAGAAGUUAUUUCCUAAUGUGCCAGAAAUGUUUGUGAAUUUGGUUUUAUAGCCUAUUUGAUCAUCCUUUUUAGGUGGAGACCUAUUCUGUUGGGUUAGAGAUGACAGAAAAUCUUAUUUGUCGGUUGGUUUGUUUGUUCAAGAAUACACUGACCUUCUACAAGAAAGGAGAGCUCUUUGACACCUGGAAAUUUUACAGAAGCUUGGGACAGCUCUGAAUGGCAACACGGUCCUGAGAUAUGUGAUUACCUGGGACUUUCAUUGGACCUGCAUUUCAGCUCUACUCUCCUCACUGCCCUAUGCUGCUUUGACCCUAAAAGUGAAGCCAGCUUGGCCAGGUGCAGUGACUCACACCUGUAAUCCCAGCACUUUGGGAGGCCGAGGUGGGCAAAUCAAGAAGUCAGGAAAUCGAGACCACCCUGGCCAACAUUGUGAAACACCAUCUCUACUAAAACACAAAAAAAUUAGCCAGGUGUGGUGGCACGCACCUGUAGUCCCAGCUACUCGGGAGGCUGAGGCAGGGGAAUCACUUGAACCCGUGAGGAGGAAAUUGCAGCGAGCCAAGAUCGCGCCACUGCACCCCAGCCUGGGCGACAGAGAGAGACUCCAUCUCAAAAACAAAACAAAACAAAACAAAAAAAACAAAAAGUGAAGCCAACUCAAUUGUCUCAUAGAACUGAUCUUUACGGUGUUUUUAAAUAAACAUAGAAAUUGGCCCUCCCAGUCUUAAAACUUCAAAAACUUACAUUUGUCUUACCUCAGUUCCUUUCUCAGGAAUCCAAUCAUCAAGGCUCCCAGAUAGUAUCAAUGAACGGAAACUUACCAGAUCACGAUAUCUGGACAAUGAGAUGUCAGAUCCCCCUCAUCCAUCCUGAUUACCUAACUGACUACCUGCUUCCUGUUGGCCAACUACUCUUCCUUACCCCUCCCUAAUUCUUGUUUUCCCACAAAUGGUUACAUUUCUGUCCUGCUAUAGAAGCCCUUAAUUUUAAUUGGUCGAGGAGAUGGAUUUGAGACUGAUUUUUUGCUCUCCUUGGCUGUUGCACCUGAAUAGCCUUUUUCCCUGGCAAUACUUUUUGUCUCAGUGAUUGGCUUUCUGUGCAGUGAGCAAUGGGACCAAACUUCUGGUGUUUUGGUAACAAAUUUUGGUUUCCUGACUGUGAAUGCAUUGCUUGUGACUCAGCUGCCAUGAGCUGGGAGAGUUUCAAAAGCCCUCUAAGCAGCUACCUGACCAUUUUGGCCAGAGGUGGAUUUUCGUCUCUCCCCAUUUGGGCCCACUUCUGCCAACCCCAACCAUGUUCCUGAUUGCCUAGGAAGAACAGCCUUUGAAAUUUGACGUCUAUGUACAGAAAGGUACAAACUGUUGCCUAAGGAUACAGGGUGUGUGGCUGGUGGCCUCAACAGGCCCCACGGCUCAGGCACUCAGACCCAAGCUGGUCCCUCAGGUAUGGUUAGCCCUUGAGAUAUUCUGCCUCAUCUUCUUUCUGACCCCUGCUGGUGAUCUCAUCCUCAAGCUCUUUCCUCUGGGGCUGAGCUCUGCUUUGUAUUGCAUUGGUCCAUGACCAGCCAGGAGGCUCAAGUGUCAUCUACUCUUCAUGGCCCAAAUGUGUGCGAUGAAGAUUGGUACUCCAUGUAGCUUCCUUCUUGGCUUAUCUCCUCGGCCCUCUCUCCCCACUACAAAUAAAUAAAUUCUGUUUAUUCUCGUAAUAACUUUAGGUGGUAUAUACUAUUGCUAUCUGAUUUGGUUUGGGUGUGUCCCCAUCCAAAUCUCAUCUUGAAUUGUAGCUCCCAUAAUCCCCACAUAUUGUUGUGGGAGGGACCAGAUGGGAGGGAAUUGAAUCAUGUGGGCAGGAUUUUUCCAUGCUGCUCUCACGAUACUGAAUAAGUCUCAUGAGAUCUGAUGGUUUUAUAAAGGGCAGUUCUCCUGCACAUGCUCUCCUGCCUGUUGCCAUGUAAGACAUGCCUUUUGCUCCUCCUUCACCUUCUGCCAUGAUUGUGAGGCCUCCCAGCCAUAUGGAACUGCGAGUCCAUUAAACCUCUUUUUCUUUAUAAAUUACCCAGUUUUGAGCAUUUCUGCAUAGUAGUGUAAGAAUGGACUAAUACACUAUCCCAGUUUUACAGAUGAGGAAACUGAGAUACAGAAGACAUAAAAUCAAAAGUGGCAGGAUUAAAACCCAAGCAAUCUGGCACCAGAUUUAAUGCUCUUAACCCAGUGUACCGUAAAGACUUUUAUGUUAAAUCUCAUGCUUAAGUUAGCAUAUAAACUAAUAUUUGUUUACUGCCUACAGCAUAACAGUUAGUUUAUAUUAUAUAUGUACGUAUUCCUUGAAUCACUGAAUCAUUAUAAUGGUGGAGCCAUGAUACAAGUCCUAAUUUUAUGACUCUAAAGUAAAUGAUCUUU
RNAcentral lists this long non-coding RNA (2556 nucleotides) under Homo sapiens (human). RNAcentral describes it as "non-protein coding LINC00882:76". The record is from RNAcentral. Lineage: Eukaryota; Metazoa; Chordata; Mammalia; Primates; Hominidae.